Molecule: long non-coding RNA, 571 nt
Filed under: Gallus gallus (chicken)
Lineage: Eukaryota; Metazoa; Chordata; Aves; Galliformes; Phasianidae
Source: RNAcentral
AGCCGAUGACGGCGAUGCCGAGGCCGGGCUCUUGUGAGUCCACACCUGGCCAGCCCCGCCGGCGCCUGCUGCCGAGUGGGAGUAGGACGUGCUGUAGGAGCCAGCACCGGGGCCGUGGUCAGCCGGCAUGGCAGUAUGGCCAUUGAGCGGCAGGUACUGGUCAAACUCGUGCACAUCGAAGGUCUCCAUGUUGUUGAUGACCUCGCUGCUCAGCUCUGAAAUGUCCACGUUGCUGAAGUCAAUGUUCUGGCGGCCGCUCUCCACGAGGCGGCGGCCCUCGUGCUUCAGCUCCUGCUUGCUGCCGUGGUGCAGGUCAGUUUUGGGGGUCGUGGGCGGCGUGGGCGGCCCAUGGGGCUGGCCUGCAUGCUCGCCGUGGUGGUGGCCAUCAGCCAUGCCCCCCAGCCCGCUGUCAGCCUUGUAGAUCUGGGUGCCGGCGUGAUGGCUGAGCUCGGCCCCGGAGUCGGAGUCGCUCUGCCCAGCUUUCACGCUUUUCCUCCUCCGGGGCUGGUAUUUAUAAUCCGGGUGAUCCUUUUUGUGCUGGACCCUGAGCCGCUCAGCUUCUUCCACAAAG